CUCUCUUAGGAACUCCAGGAAGAUGAACAUUACAGAACUCAACCUAGAGCUUGAAACAAGUAUAAACAUUCUACUCCAGCCCAAGCUUCAUCCUUCCUCUAUAAAAGCACCCCAAAAUUGGCAGACCAGUCGAAGAUAUUUUUAAAAGUCCUCCCAGUGUGGCCACCUCCUUUUCACUUUUACUGAUGACUUUGCCUCUCUGUGCCUUGCUGAGUAGUGAAGGGUCAGACCUGCUUUGGUUCUCUGGACUGGAUGAUAGAGCUCUUUGUUCAGCAGUAAUAUCUGCUUAAUAAUUUGCUAUUUUUUUUAAACACUGGCCUUGGAACUCAGGGACAAGUGAAUUCACAAAUUUGAGAAGGGAGACCAAAUGCUAAUAUUCAUCUCUAACAUCUGUGAAAAUGAAUGCCCUUGUCCAGGCCGAGAUGGAAAAUUAAUUCAAGUGAAAAGAGCAGUGAACCAUGAGUCAGCCUAGGUUAAAGCCAGAAACUGAAAACAAACUAAUGUGCAACCUGGACAGACCGCUCCACACCUCUGGGCUUCGAUUUUAUCACGUCAGCACAGAGAUGGAACAUUUUUAUGAUCACAGAAUGUUCUACUGGACAGUGCUGCUCUCCAAGCAAGGAGGGACUGGCUAUUGAUGAAUCUCAGCGUAAUUUCAUCCCACUCUUCAGGCAGCAGCAUCAGCAGAAAGCCAAU
Long non-coding RNA from Tupaia belangeri chinensis (Chinese tree shrew), 696 nucleotides. RefSeq lists it as uncharacterized. NCBI's taxonomy places the organism in Eukaryota, Metazoa, Chordata, Mammalia, Scandentia, Tupaiidae. The record is from RefSeq and is a predicted model, not a curated record. The transcript is spliced from 4 exons.